CCUACGGGAGGCAGCAGUGAGGAAUAUUGGUCAAUGGCCGUAAGGCUGAACCAGCCAAGUAGCGUGAGGGAAGACUGCCCUAUGGGUUGUAAACCUCUUUUAUGCGGGGGUAAAGGUGUCCACGUGUGGAUGUUUGCAGGUACAGCAUGAAUCCGGACCGGUUAAUUCCGUGCCAGCAGCCGCGGUAAUACGGAAGGUCCGGGCGUUAUCCGGAUUUAUUGGGUUUAACGGGAGCGUAGGCCGGUCUUUAAGCGUGCCGUGAAAUUUUGUGGCUCAACCAUGGGAGUGCGGCGCGAACUGGAGACCUGGAGUGCGCGGAAGGCAGGCGGAAUUCGUGGUGUAGCGGUGAAAUGCUUAGAUAUCACGAAGAACCCCGAUUGCGAAGGCAGCCUGCCGCAGCGUUACUGACGCUGAAGCUCGAAAGCGCGGGGAUCGAACAGGAUUAGAUACCCGGGUAGUC
This 460-nucleotide ribosomal RNA is filed under the name uncultured bacterium. RNAcentral's name for it is "partial 16S ribosomal RNA". It matches the Rfam family "Bacterial small subunit ribosomal RNA", at positions 338 to 795 of the family's 1533-position model. The record is from RNAcentral.